AAUGAGAAGCAAUUUUGUGUUUAGUUUCGGCCUAAAAGUUUGGUGUGUACCCUCAUU
Molecule: transfer RNA, 57 nt
Filed under: Centruroides vittatus
Lineage: Eukaryota; Metazoa; Arthropoda; Arachnida; Scorpiones; Buthidae
Description: tRNA-Arg
Source: RNAcentral